UGAACUGAGGGUAGCGGAGAAAUUCCAAUCGAACCUGGAGAUAGCUGGUUCUCUCCGAAAUAGCUUUAGGGCUAGCCUCAAGUGAUGAUUAUUGGAGGUAGAGCACUGUUUGGACGAGGGGCCCCUCUCGGGUUACCGAAUUCAGACAAACUCCGAAUGCCAAUUAAUUUAACUUGGGAGUCAGAACAUGGGUGAUAAGGUCCGUGUUCGAAAGGGAAACAGCCCAGACCACCAGCUAAGGUCCCAAAAUAUAUGUUAAGUGGAAAAGGAUGUGGCGUUGCCCAGACAACUAGGAUGUUGGCUUAGAAGCAGCCAUCAUUUAAAGAGUGCGUAAUAGCUCACUAGUCGAGUGACACUGCGCCGAAAAUGUACCGGGGCUAAACAUAUUACCGAAGCUGUGGAUUGUCCUUUGGACAAUGGUAGGAGAGCGUUCUAAGGGCGUUGAAGCAUGAUCGUAAGGACAUGUGGAGCGCUUAGAAGUGAGAAUGCCGGUGUGAGUAGCGAAAGACGGGUGAGAAUCCCGUCCACCGAUUGACUAAGGUUUCCAGAGGAAGGCUCGUCCGCUCUGGGUUAGUCGGGUCCUAAGCUGAGGCCGACAGGCGUAGGCGAUGGAUAACAGGUUGAUAUUCCUGUACCACCUAUAAUCGUUUUAAUCGAUGGGGGGACGCAGUAGGAUAGGCGAAGCGUGCGAUUGGAUUGCACGUCUAAGCAGUAAGGCUGAGUAUUAGGCAAAUCCGGUACUCGUUAAGGCUGAGCUGUGAUGGGGAGAAGACAUUGUGUCUUCGAGUCGUUGAUUUCACACUGCCGAGAAAAGCCUCUAGAUAGAAAAUAGGUGCCCGUACCGCAAACCGACACAGGUAGUCAAGAUGAGAAUUCUAAGGUGAGCGAGCGAACUCUCGUUAAGGAACUCGGCAAAAUGACCCCGUAACUUCGGGAGAAGGGGUGCUCUUUAGGGUUAACGCCCAGAAGAGCCGCAGUGAAUAGGCCCAAGCGACUGUUUAUCAAAAACACAGGUCUCUGCUAAACCGUAAGGUGAUGUAUAGGGGCUGACGCCUGCCCGGUGCUGGAAGGUUAAGAGGAGUGGUUAGCUUCUGCGAAGCUACGAAUCGAAGCCCCAGUAAACGGCGGCCGUAACUAUAACGGUCCUAAGGUAGCGAAAUUCCUUGUCGGGUAAGUUCCGACCCGCACGAAAGGCGUAACGAUUUGGGCACUGUCUCAACGAGAGACUCGGUGAAAUCAUAGUACCUGUGAAGAUGCAGGUUACCCGCGACAGGACGGAAAGACCCCGUGGAGCUUUACUGUAGCCUGAUAUUGAAAUUCGGCACAGCUUGUACAGGAUAGGUAGGAGCCUUUGAAACGUGAGCGCUAGCUUACGUGGAGGCGCUGGUGGGAUACUACCCUAGCUGUGUUGGCUUUCUAACCCGCACCACUUAUCGUGGUGGGAGACAGUGUCAGGCGGGCAGUUUGACUGGGGCGGUCGCCUCCUAAAAGGUAACGGAGGCGCUCAAAGGUUCCCUCAGAAUGGUUGGAAAUCAUUCAUAGAGUGUAAAGGCAUAAGGGAGCUUGACUGCGAGACCUACAAGUCGAGCAGGGUCGAAAGACGGACUUAGUGAUCCGGUGGUUCCGCAUGGAAGGGCCAUCGCUCAACGGAUAAAAGCUACCCCGGGGAUAACAGGCUUAUCUCCCCCAAGAGUUCACAUCGACGGGGAGGUUUGGCACCUCGAUGUCGGCUCAUCGCAUCCUGGGGCUGUAGUCGGUCCCAAGGGUUGGGCUGUUCGCCCAUUAAAGCGGUACGCGAGCUGGGUUCAGAACGUCGUGAGACAGUUCGGUCCCUAUCCGUCGUGGGCGUAGGAAAUUUGAGAGGAGCUGUCCUUAGUACGAGAGGACCGGGAUGGACAUACCUCUGGUGUACCAGUUGUCGUGCCAACGGCAUAGCUGGGUAGCUAUGUGUGGACGGGAUAAGUGCUGAAAGCAUCUAAGCAUGAAGCCCCCCUCAAGAUGAGAUUUCCCAACUUCGGUUAUAAGAUCCCUCAAAGAUGAUGAGGUUAAUAGGUUCGAGGUGGAAGCAUGGUGACAUGUGGAGCUGACGAAUACUAAUCGAUCGAAGACUUAAUCAA
RNAcentral lists this ribosomal RNA (2117 nucleotides) under Staphylococcus aureus. RNAcentral's name for it is "partial 23S ribosomal RNA". It matches the Rfam family "Bacterial large subunit ribosomal RNA", at positions 805 to 2925 of the family's 2925-position model. The record is from RNAcentral. Lineage: Bacteria; Bacillati; Bacillota; Bacilli; Caryophanales; Staphylococcaceae.